RNAcentral lists this long non-coding RNA (893 nucleotides) under Olea europaea subsp. europaea. Lineage: Eukaryota; Viridiplantae; Streptophyta; Magnoliopsida; Lamiales; Oleaceae. The record is from RNAcentral.
CAACCUUAUGUCCAACAUAGAACAGAAGAACAAAAAGUAAAAUUAAAAAACAAAAAAAUCUCUAUUAAAAGUGAGUAGCAAUCCAAACUAACAUGGAUAUCAUACUUUUACAUAUGUUUGUUGAAUUAUCCAAUCAUGCCAUCUUAAAGUAGUGGAGGCGAAUCACGACCAAUAUUCUCAAAGAUCAAAUCACGCAUGAAUUCUUCAUCAGUCAAGCUCAUAAAUACUUUAGUCAGACUCUCGUCCGAUCGAAAUACUAUCAUGACUUGCAUUAUGUCAUGCUUCUCAAUGUUCAUGCUUUGUAAUUUUUGUAGAACCAAUUGCCAAUUGAUGUGAUUUAGCGUAUCUAACGUUGCUUGAAUCUCCAUAGCAUUAGCAAUUUUUUUUGACGAUUCAGCAAUGUUGGAUAGGGCUAUGAGACUCUCAUCAUUAGGUUGACUACGUCGUCGUCGUCGUCGAAUUUUGUUAGUUCCUCCGUCAAUGUUACGCUUGGGAGCCCGGACUGGGCUUGGAUCUCUAUCCUCGUUUUGAUCGUCAACUUCAUUCAAUUUUUCAUCUGAAAAAAAGGAACUUUUUCGGAUCUUUUAUAUCAUAUGAAUUAUAAUAUAUAUAUAUAUAUAUAUAUAUAUAUAUAUAUAUAUAUAUAUAUAUUAUCAUUGCGGGUUACAGCGCGAUCUCCCGUAGCAGAGUCAUUUCCAAAGAUAGCCUCCAUAUCAUCAUAACGAGGACAAAGCUUAGUCCUCCACUUUCCGAAUUCUGGUUUCCCCUACAAAGGGAAAAAGAGUGGAAUAUAUGCUACACGUAAUCAAUGUUCAAAAGAUACCAUACUACUAAUAUUUAAUGCCUAAUAAGUUGGUUGAUGAAAUAUUUUACCUUCAAAAACUCUUCCCAAG